CCGCGCCUCCGCUACCCUCCAAACCGCCGAACCGAACGAGCCCAACACCCACCACCUGGAAAAAUCCUACUCUAUAAAUCAAUCGACGCACCACGUCCACAGGCAUCCAUCGAAAUCUUUCUCAUCGGCUCCUACCAGCACCACGCCAAGUGUAUACGGCAAGAAGGAAGCCACGACACCUCGUCUAGUGUUCCUUAUCCGUGUCCCGUAGCUAGCCAGCAAUCUGCGCAGCAAGAAAGGAAGGGAGGUACUUGGAUCGCUUCUUCUGUGGAGAUGGUGGCGCCCAUGGUGAUCGCGUCGGCGGGGCUCGGGAUGCCGGCGGGCAUGGCGAUGGCGAACCGGACGACCGGGGACGGGCUGCCGGCGGCGUCUAGAUGGGACGCGCGGCCGCGUUGCUCCACGUGCAGCGGCACUGGCCGGGAGGAGUGCCUCUGUAGCCAUUGGUCCGACGGCGACGUCGGCUGCGGGACGUGCUCCGGCUCCGGCCGCAAGCCGUGCCGCAGCUGCGGAGGCUCUGGCACCGGCCGGCAGCUCCCGGUUCGACUCAUCGCCCAGCAGCAGAAGCUGCCGACGACCGCACCCGGGCGAAGCGGAGACUACAACUGA
RNAcentral lists this ribosomal RNA (606 nucleotides) under Triticum aestivum (bread wheat). Its description in RNAcentral is "partial small subunit ribosomal RNA". The record is from RNAcentral. Lineage: Eukaryota; Viridiplantae; Streptophyta; Magnoliopsida; Poales; Poaceae.